UCAUGGAUUCAGUCUGCCGCUUCAAUAUCUCAUUAUCCUGCAGCACUCUGUCGCUAUCUUCUACCUAUGAAUAAAAACAGACCUUGUCAGAGAAGCAAAUGUGAAACCUUAUUACAACAUGUAUGCUAAGUCGCUAACCCAUAGAGACACCUAGAACAAAUGUGAAAACUUUCCAUGUUGCCGAGUAAGUAUAUGAGCACCCCUCAAAACAUUAAUUAGCAAGUACUUGACACAUACAAACUUGUACAGAAAAAAUAACACUUCCGAAUUUAAUUGGCUUCAAAGAUUGCAAGGAAGGCAUACUGAUGAGCUGCAAUGCAAUCUUCAAUGUUCAGUACUUGUACACGCUAUGCUCCUGCGGUGCAACCCCUAGCUCAUGUGGCUUCACAAAGUCUACAUUGUAUAGGACAUUUUUUAGCAAAGGGUGAAACUGCAUACAUAUACAUCUCAAAUCAUAUGUAGUAUGUGUCUAGUCAUCCUACGAUUGCCCGAGCUCAUAACUGUAUUUCUUAUAAACACUUUAGACAUGUUCAGGAAACACAUGUAGUUAACGACAAGUGUACAUAUCACCCAUUUUAUAGGUUCAAAGACAGAUAACAAAAAUUAACUAGACAAAGUUAGAUGACAGUGAAGCUUAAAGCUGCAGUAAGAAAUAUUAGGGGGAAGCUUUAGUUAAACGAAGUUAAAAGACAGAUAUUUUCUAGUGUUUCUAAGACAGUGACCUUGUCAAAAACACGUUUCUGCAUUUUAAUUAGGGGGGAGCUUUAGUUCUAAAAUACUGGAACUGUGACUGAAAGAUCAUAUAUCUCUACUACCUAAAAAGAACGUAACGUUCCCUCUCCCCUCUUACGUCGCCCACCCUUCGUCCAUCCUUCUCUCGUACGACCCCCACCCCACCAUCGGUUUUCUUUCUUCCCUUCACCGGUUUUCUUUCUGCUGGUUCCUAUUUGCCGGUUUUAUUCACAUCUGGCUGGACAGACUCACUCUAUUUUUUUUGGCAACCAGAUAAUUCAUGUAUGGUAACCAAUCUUUUGUUUGGUAAUACAAACGCGAUCAGUAUAUAUAUGGUAAUGAAUAUCCUCUAUGGUAAUGCAAUAAACUUAAUGAAGGUCAUCAAUUUCCUUUCUUCUUUCAACCAAUCGGUAAACAAAUCAGAAGGAGGCAAUCACAUACAUGUAUGGAAGAUAAUCGCGGAGACCGCGCGUGACAUGCAGGAAGAAAUUGUUGAGAUCCGCGGAAAAGAAGGGAAAAAUCUCUAGGCCGCUCGCACUCCCCCAUCAACGGCCCUGCACAUGCACUCCCGAUUUGGAUUUUCUAAAAUCGUGAUUCACAUAUAUCUUUCUUAUCCAUAUGGCCGAUCCUUGUGGGCACGUUUCAUCUAUAGACGCGGGGGACCGGACGGCAGCCGGGACGGGCUCGCCGGUGUACCGCACCUCAAGGCCGUCCUUCUCAACAUGCUGCGCCACGACCGCCCGCCAUGUCCGUAGCACCCGCUGAGGUGAGCUCCUUGCAUUCGCAUACGUGCAUUAGCAACAAACAAAGCAGAGAGAUCACCAAUAAAAAGGCAGCAGCAGCAGCUACUGUUGCAAGAGCAAGACAGGACAACGAGAGCAUGUGACUCCAAUUAGAGAUUCAGAUAAGAACAUCCUGCAGUAGUGGACAGUCCUUAUCUUCUCAGAUCAUGCUGAUGUUGCACAUGAGAAAUUAUAAGGGGGGAGCACAGAUUCAGGUGGUGAAACGGUUAAGGAGUACAAGCUCAAGACAUUCAAUGAUUCAAGGCAUGCACUAAUGUUCAGAAUUGCCACACAUUCCAGUAUGUUGAUAUGUAUAACUUGUAAAUUGUGAUCAUAUGCCAUGGGCACUGUUGAUGGGAUUUCGUACGGGACUGCCAGGGGCAAGCAAGGUAAUCUUCUUUCCUAUGAUAUGAUUUUUAUUUCUUGUUCCUCCGUCUAUCUAAACGACUAAGAGAUGUUCAAUGAAAUGACUCUACAUGUUGCAGUUAAGAGUAUAACAUAGUUGUUUCUCCAAGGGCCGUUGGCCGAACUUUAUUAGAUGGGAAAGAAGUACAAGCUGGUUAGCAGUCUAGGUGCACUAGAAGUGAAAACCAGAGGAUGUUGUUGUUCUCUUUAUAUUCAGUAGAGGCUCACCUUACUUCGAUGUGCUAGCUCAAGGGAGAAAAACGAACAUGGAUAAAGGAGCCCACUUCGUAGAAGUUAACUCAUAAUUUACUCCUGAGUCCUUACUACUAAUGGAUUCGUGAUAUCAUUGCAUUGACCACAUAACAUCAUGUUGUACUACUCUGUAUUUAGAGUCAUCAUUCCACGCAUCUUUGAUUAUUUUUUGUAAAUAAGAAAUUUAAUAUGCAGUCACCUGCACCACAGUCGUUCCAUUUGCAAAUUAGACAUACAGUACACUUCAUCUCCCAAGAUAUGUGAGACCAUUUAUAGAUUUACCAAGUUUAGAAAAAAUAUGGUGUGCAAGCGAGGUAGACGGCAAUACGAGGAUGUAUGUGCCGGUGUUAGAAAAACACAAGCAACUAUUCCCUCUGUGACGUAAUAUAAGACAUUUUUGACAUUAUCGUAGUGUGAAAAAAUAUCUUGUUAUAGAGGGAGUAGAACUCAAUCUUGGGGUUUCAUGGCCCGCUCAUAUUUUGUCCAUAUAAAAAUGGGAUUGAUGGAUGCAUUACAUUUUAUAUUUGCUUUCAGACGAAAUGUUUAUGAACAAGACAUGAUUCGGCAAGAUGUGCGUAAGGGUUGUAAAGGUAUAUAUUUGCCAUGAUUGUACUAAACUAUUAGAAUAUUUAUGCCCCGUUACAAUGCACGGGCAAUUACCUAAUGAUAUAAUGAUAUAUGUAAGUCAUCAUUGAUACUGAACCACACAAAAGUGACUUGCCAGGAAAAAAGAAAUCAAUAAUUCCACCUUAUGUGCAUGAGAAUCCUAACGAUAUAUGUUAGACAUGAUUGGUAUUUAACUACUAGAAUGUGCCCCGUUGCAACGCACGGGCAAUUUCCUAGUACUAUUAGAAAAACAGACCAAAAUCCUCGCAGAAAAAAACAGACCAAAAAAAUUAACUUCCUACUUACAGUGGCAAGAAAAUCUUAUAUGAAUGUGUUAUAAUAAAUAAUGCUAACCAUGAAGUCUUCUUCCAUAUAACAAAGGAGUGACGAAAACAAAAAACCUA
Molecule: long non-coding RNA, 3181 nt
Filed under: Triticum aestivum (bread wheat)
Lineage: Eukaryota; Viridiplantae; Streptophyta; Magnoliopsida; Poales; Poaceae
Description: long non-coding RNA (TAES_LNC009137)
Source: RNAcentral